AUAUUAUUAAGCGGAGGAAAAGAAACUAACUAGGAUUCCCCUAGUAAUGGCGAAUGAACGGGGAAGAGCCCAGCACCGAAUCCUGCGGCGUCUCGUCGUUAGGACCUGUGGUGUUUAGGCAAGCCUUUCCGGCAUCUCGAGGCAGUCAAAGUCCCCUUGAGGGGGGCCAGUCGCCCCAU
This 179-nucleotide ribosomal RNA is filed under the name uncultured eukaryote. RNAcentral describes it as "partial large subunit ribosomal RNA". It matches the Rfam family "Eukaryotic large subunit ribosomal RNA", at positions 40 to 206 of the family's 3401-position model. The record is from RNAcentral.